Molecule: ribosomal RNA, 468 nt
Filed under: uncultured bacterium
Lineage: Bacteria
Description: partial 16S ribosomal RNA
Rfam family: Bacterial small subunit ribosomal RNA
Source: RNAcentral
GACGAACGCUGGCGGCGUGCUUAACACAUGCAAGUCGAACGGAAAGGCCCUGCUUUUGUGGGGUGCUCGAGUGGCGAACGGGUGAGUAACACGUGAGUAACCUGCCCUUGACUUUGGGAUAACUUCAGGAAACUGGGGCUAAUACCGGAUAGGAGCUCCUGCUGCAUGGUGGGGGUUGGAAAGUUUCGGAGGUUGGGGAUGGACUCGCGGCUUAUCAGCUUGUUGGUGGGGUAGUGGCUUACCAAGGUUUUGACGGGUAGCCGGCCUGAGAGGGUGACCGGCCACAUUUGGACUGAGAUCCGGCCCAGACUCCUACGGGACGCAGAAGUGGGGAAUAUUGCACGAUGCGCGCAAGCCUGGUGCAGCAACGCCGCGUGCGGGAUGACGGCCUUCGGGUUGUAAACCGCUUUCGCCUGUGACGAAGCGUGAGUGACGGUAAUGGGUAAAGAAGCACCGGCUAACUACGUG